Molecule: ribosomal RNA, 262 nt
Filed under: uncultured prokaryote
Description: partial 16S ribosomal RNA
Rfam family: Bacterial small subunit ribosomal RNA
Source: RNAcentral
UACGUAGGUGGCGAGCGUUGUCCGGAUUUACUGGGCGUAAAGGGAGCAUAGGCGGACUUUUAAGUGAGAUGUGAAAUACCCGGGCUCAACUUGGGUGCUGCAUUUCAAACUGGAAGUCUAGAGUGCAGGAGAGGAGAAUGGAAUUCCUAGUGUAGCGGUGAAAUGCGUAGAGAUUAGGAAGAACACCAGUGGCGAAGGCGAUUCUCUGGACUGUAACUGACGCUGAGGCUCGAAAGCGUGGGGAGCAAACAGGAUUAGAUAU